Molecule: small RNA, 128 nt
Filed under: uncultured Clostridium sp.
Lineage: Bacteria; Bacillati; Bacillota; Clostridia; Eubacteriales; Clostridiaceae
Description: Ribosomal protein L10 leader
Rfam family: Ribosomal protein L10 leader
About the family: This family is a putative r-protein leader autoregulatory structure found in B. subtilis and other low-GC Gram-positive bacteria.
Source: RNAcentral
UCUGAGUUAGCUGCCGAAGACAGCAGGUGCCGCAAGGCAUAAGUUCGGGAGAACACCUGCCGAGGAAGACGUGGAAGAAUACGAAUUUCCGCCUCUCUGUCUUGAUGGCAGGGAGGCUUUUUCUUUUC